RNAcentral lists this ribosomal RNA (507 nucleotides) under uncultured bacterium. RNAcentral describes it as "bacterial SSU rRNA". It matches the Rfam family "Bacterial small subunit ribosomal RNA", at positions 30 to 526 of the family's 1533-position model. The record is from RNAcentral.
AUUGAACGCUAGCGGCAUGCUUAACACAUGCAAGUCGAACGGUAACAGGCCUAGCUUGCUAGGCGCUGACGAGUGGCGGACGGGUGAGUAAUGCUUGGGAAUCUGCCCAGUAGCGGGGGACAACUCGGGGAAACUCGAGCUAAUACCGCAUACGCCCUACGGGGGAAAGCGGGGGACCUUCGGGCCUCGCACUAUUGGAUGAGCCCAAGUCGGAUUAGCUUGUUGGUGGGGUAAUGGCCUACCAAGGCAACGAUCCGUAGCUGGUCUGAGAGGACGAUCAGCCACACUGGGACUGAGACACGGCCCAGACUCCUACGGGAGGCAGCAGUGGGGAAUAUUGGACAAUGGGCGCAAGCCUGAUCCAGCAAUGCCGCGUGUGUGAAGAAGGCCUUCGGGUUGUAAAGCACUUUCAGUGGGGAAGAAAAGCUUAAGGUUAAUACCCUUGAGCCCUGACAUUACCCACAGAAGAAGCACCGGCUAACUCUGUGCCAGCAGCCGCCGUAACAC